ACGCUGGCGGCGUGCUUAACACAUGCAAGUCGAACGAAAAUACCAAGCUUGCUUGGUUGAUUAGUGGCGAACGGGUGAGUAACACGUGAGUAACCUGCCCCUUACUUUCCUGGAUAACUGCUCGAAAGGGUAGCUAAUACGGGAUAUUCUGACCAUCCUGCAUGGGUUGGUUUGGAAAGGUUGUUUUUCUGGUAAGGGAUGGGCUCGCGGCCUAUCAGCUUGUUGGUGGGGUGACGGCCUACCAAGGCUUUGACGGGUAGCCGGCCUGAGAGGGUGGACGGUCACACUGGGACUGAGAUACGGCCCAGACUCCUACGGGAGGCAGCAGUGGGGAAUAUUGCACAAUGGGCGCAAGCCUGAUGCAGCGACGCCGCGUGAGGGAUGAAGGCCUUCGGGUUGUAAACCUCUUUCGUCAGGGAACAAGGCACUGCUUUGGUGGUGUUGAGGGUACCUGGAUAAGAAGCGCCGGCUAACUACGUGCCAGCAGCCGCGGUAAUACGUAGGGCGCAAGCGUUGUCCGGAAUUAUUGGGCGUAAAGAGCUCGUAGGCGGCUGGUCGCGUCUGUCGUGAAAACUUCCGGCUCAACCGGGGGCUUGCGGUGGGUACGGGCCGGCUAGAGUGCGGUAGGGGUAACUGGAACUCCUGGUGUAGCGGUGGAAUGCGCAGAUAUCAGGAAGAACACCGAUGGCGAAGGCAGGUUACUGGGCCGUUACUGACGCUGAGGAGCGAAAGCGUGGGGAGCGAACAGGAUUAGAUACCCUGGUAGUCCACGCCGUAAACGUUGGGCACUAGGUGUGAGGCUCCUUUCCGGGGGUUUUGCGCCGUAGCUAACGCAUUAAGUGCCCCGCCUGGGGAGUACGGCCGCAAGGCUAAAACUCAAAGGAAUUGACGGGGGCCCGCA
RNAcentral lists this ribosomal RNA (901 nucleotides) under uncultured bacterium. RNAcentral describes it as "bacterial SSU rRNA". It matches the Rfam family "Bacterial small subunit ribosomal RNA", at positions 33 to 925 of the family's 1533-position model. The record is from RNAcentral.